GACGUAGGGGGCAAGCGUUGUUCGGAAUUAUUGGGCGUAAAGCGCUCGUAGGCGGGAUCGCAAGUCCGUGUUGAAAGACCUCGGCUCAACUGAGGGACCGGCUCGGAUACUUCGAUUCUUGAGGCAAUCAGAGGGUGAUGGAAUUCCCGGUGUAGCGGUGAAAUGCGUAGAGAUCCGGAGGAACACCGACGGCGCAGGCAGCGUCCUGGCCGCUUGCUGACACUGAGGCACGAAAGCUGGGGGAGCAAACAGG
This 253-nucleotide ribosomal RNA is filed under the name uncultured bacterium. RNAcentral's name for it is "partial 16S ribosomal RNA". It matches the Rfam family "Bacterial small subunit ribosomal RNA", at positions 524 to 776 of the family's 1533-position model. The record is from RNAcentral.